This 465-nucleotide ribosomal RNA is filed under the name uncultured bacterium. Its description in RNAcentral is "partial 16S ribosomal RNA". It matches the Rfam family "Bacterial small subunit ribosomal RNA", at positions 28 to 507 of the family's 1533-position model. The record is from RNAcentral.
GACGAACGCUGGCGGCGUGCUUAACACAUGCAAGUCGAACGGAAAGGCCCUGCUUGCGGGGUACUCGAGUGGCGAACGGGUGAGUAACACGUGGGUGUUCUGCCCUGCACUUCGGGAUAUGCCUUGGAAACUGGGUCUAUUACCGGGUAGGAGCCCUCUUUCUUGUGAUGGUUGGUAAGUUUUUUCGGUGUAGGAUGAGCUCGCGGCCUAUCUGCUUGUUGGUGGGGUAAUGGGCUACCAAGGCGGCGGCGGGUAGCCGGCCUGCGGGGGUGGACGGCCACAAUGGGACUGAGGUACGGCCCAGACUCCUACGGGGAGCAGGAGGGGGGAAUAUUGCACAAUGGGGGCAAGGCUGAUGCAGCGACGCCGCGGGGGGGAUGACGGGCUUCGGGUUGGAAACUCGUUUCGCUAGGGACGAAGCUUUUUGUGACGGUACCUAGAUAAGAAGCACCGGCUAACUACGUG